AUGAAGCUAAAUGCAUCACCAGGACCAGAUGGUUUCAACGUGGAAUUUUACCUUGCAACAUGGGAUUGGAUUGGAGAUGAUGUCACCAACUUGGUAACCAAUUUCUAUCAUACAGGUAUAUUACCUCCUCACAUUAGUGACACUAAUAUUGCUCUCAUCCCUAAAAAGUUGGUUCCUCAAGUUUCUACUGAUUAUCGUCCAAUCAGCCUUUGUAAUGUUAUUUAUAAGAUCAUUGCUAAAUCUUUGGCUAAUAGGCUCAAACCGCACCUGCCUGAUUACAUUGAACCAACCCAGCAAGCUUUCAUUGAGGGGCGUAGAAUUAGCGAUAACAUCAUCAUU
This 339-nucleotide ribosomal RNA is filed under the name Triticum aestivum (bread wheat). RNAcentral describes it as "partial small subunit ribosomal RNA". Lineage: Eukaryota; Viridiplantae; Streptophyta; Magnoliopsida; Poales; Poaceae. The record is from RNAcentral.